RNAcentral lists this ribosomal RNA (161 nucleotides) under uncultured bacterium. Its description in RNAcentral is "partial 16S rRNA". It matches the Rfam family "Bacterial small subunit ribosomal RNA", at positions 358 to 511 of the family's 1533-position model. The record is from RNAcentral.
GGAAUCUUCCACAAUGGACGAAAGUCUGAUGGAGCAACGCCGCGUGAGUGAAGAAGGGUUUCGGCUCGUAAAACUCUGUUGUUAAAGAAGAACAUAUCUGAGAGUAACUGUUCAGGUAUUGACGGUAUUUAACCAGAAAGCCGCGGCUAACUACGUGCCAG